GGUUAAGCGACUAAGCGUACACGGUGGAUGCCCUGGCAGUCAGAGGCGAUGAAGGACGUGCUAAUCUGCGAUAAGCGUCGGUGAGGUGAUAUGAACCGUUAUAACCGGCGAUUUCCGAAUGGGGAAACCCAGUGUGUUUCGACACACUAUCAUUAACUGAAUCCAUAGGUUAAUGAGGCGAACCGGGGGAACUGAAACAUCUAAGUACCCCGAGGAAAAGAAAUCAACCGAGAUUCCCCCAGUAGCGGCGAGCGAACGGGGAGGAGCCCAGAGCCUGAAUCAGUGUGUGUGUUAGUGGAAGCGUCUGGAAAGGCGCGCGAUACAGGGUGACAGCCCCGUACACAAAAAUGCACAUAUUGUGAGCUCGAUGAGUAGGGCGGGACACGUGGUAUCCUGUCUGAAUAUGGGGGGACCAUCCUCCAAGGCUAAAUACUCCUGACUGACCGAUAGUGAACCAGUACCGUGAGGGAAAGGCGAAAAGAACCCCGGCGAGGGGAGUGAAAAAGAACCUGAAACCGUGUACGUACAAGCAGUGGGAGCCUCUUUAUGGGGUGACUGCGUACCUUUUGUAUAAUGGGUCAGCGACUUAUAUUCUGUAGCAAGGUUAACCGAAUAGGGGAGCCGAAGGGAAACCGAGUCUUAACUGGGCGUUAAGUUGCAGGGUAUAGACCCGAAACCCGGUGAUCUAGCCAUGGGCAGGUUGAAGGUUGGGUAACACUAACUGGAGGACCGAACCGACUAAUGUUGAAAAAUUAGCGGAUGACUUGUGGCUGGGGGUGAAAGGCCAAUCAAACCGGGAGAUAGCUGGUUCUCCCCGAAAGCUAUUUAGGUAGCGCCUCGUGAAUUCAUCUCCGGGGGUAGAGCACUGUUUCGGCAAGGGGGUCAUCCCGACUUACCAACCCGAUGCAAACUGCGAAUACCGGAGAAUGUUAUCACGGGAGACACACGGCGGGUGCUAACGUCCGUCGUGAAGAGGGAAACAACCCAGACCGCCAGCUAAGGUCCCAAAGUCAUGGUUAAGUGGGAAACGAUGUGGGAAGGCCCAGACAGCCAGGAUGUUGGCUUAGAAGCAGCCAUCAUUUAAAGAAAGCGUAAUAGCUCACUGGUCGAGUCGGCCUGCGCGGAAGAUGUAACGGGGCUAAACCAUGCACCGAAGCUGCGGCAGCGACACUAUGUGUUGUUGGGUAGGGGAGCGUUCUGUAAGCCUGUGAAGGUGGCCUGUGAGGGUUGCUGGAGGUAUCAGAAGUGCGAAUGCUGACAUAAGUAACGAUAAAGCGGGUGAAAAGCCCGCUCGCCGGAAGACCAAGGGUUCCUGUCCAACGUUAAUCGGGGCAGGGUGAGUCGACCCCUAAGGCGAGGCCGAAAGGCGUAGUCGAUGGGAAACAGGUUAAUAUUCCUGUACUUGGUGUUACUGCGAAGGGGGGACGGAGAAGGCUAUGUUGGCCGGGCGACGGUUGUCCCGGUUUAAGCGUGUAGGCUGGUUUUCCAGGCAAAUCCGGAAAACCAAGGCUGAGGCGUGAUGACGAGGCACUACGGUGCUGAAGCGACAAAUGCCCUGCUUCCAGGAAAAGCCUCUAAGCAUCAGGUAACAUCAAAUCGUACCCCAAACCGACACAGGUGGUCAGGUAGAGAAUACCAAGGCGCUUGAGAGAACUCGGGUGAAGGAACUAGGCAAAAUGGUGCCGUAACUUCGGGAGAAGGCACGCUGAUAUGUAGGUGAAGCGACUUGCUCGUGGAGCUGAAAUCAGUCGAAGAUACCAGCUGGCUGCAACUGUUUAUUAAAAACACAGCACUGUGCAAACACGAAAGUGGACGUAUACGGUGUGACGCCUGCCCGGUGCCGGAAGGUUAAUUGAUGGGGUUAGCGGUAACGCGAAGCUCUUGAUCGAAGCCCCGGUAAACGGCGGCCGUAACUAUAACGGUCCUAAGGUAGCGAAAUUCCUUGUCGGGUAAGUUCCGACCUGCACGAAUGGCGUAAUGAUGGCCAGGCUGUCUCCACCCGAGACUCAGUGAAAUUGAACUCGCUGUGAAGAUGCAGUGUACCCGCGGCAAGACGGAAAGACCCCGUGAACCUUUACUAUAGCUUGACACUGAACAUUGAGCCUUGAUGUGUAGGAUAGGUGGGAGGCUUUGAAGUGUGGACGCCAGUCUGCAUGGAGCCGACCUUGAAAUACCACCCUUUAAUGUUUGAUGUUCUAACGUUGGCCCGUAAUCCGGGUUGCGGACAGUGUCUGGUGGGUAGUUUGACUGGGGCGGUCUCCUCCUAAAGAGUAACGGAGGAGCACGAAGGUUGGCUAAUCCUGGUCGGACAUCAGGAGGUUAGUGCAAUGGCAUAAGCCAGCUUGACUGCGAGCGUGACGGCGCGAGCAGGUGCGAAAGCAGGUCAUAGUGAUCCGGUGGUUCUGAAUGGAAGGGCCAUCGCUCAACGGAUAAAAGGUACUCCGGGGAUAACAGGCUGAUACCGCCCAAGAGUUCAUAUCGACGGCGGUGUUUGGCACCUCGAUGUCGGCUCAUCACAUCCUGGGGCUGAAGUAGGUCCCAAGGGUAUGGCUGUUCGCCAUUUAAAGUGGUACGCGAGCUGGGUUUAGAACGUCGUGAGACAGUUCGGUCCCUAUCUGCCGUGGGCGCUGGAGAACUGAGGGGGGCUGCUCCUAGUACGAGAGGACCGGAGUGGACGCAUCACUGGUGUUCGGGUUGUCAUGCCAAUGGCACUGCCCGGUAGCUAAAUGCGGAAGAGAUAAGUGCUGAAAGCAUCUAAGCACGAAACUUGCCCCGAGAUGAGUUCUCCCUGACUCCUUGAGAGUCCUGAAGGAACGUUGAAGACGACGACGUUGAUAGGCCGGGUGUGUAAGCGCAGCGAUGCGUUGAGCUAACCGGUACUAAUGAACCGUGAGG
This 2895-nucleotide ribosomal RNA is filed under the name Escherichia coli. RNAcentral describes it as "partial 23S ribosomal RNA". It matches the Rfam family "Bacterial large subunit ribosomal RNA". Lineage: Bacteria; Pseudomonadati; Pseudomonadota; Gammaproteobacteria; Enterobacterales; Enterobacteriaceae. The record is from RNAcentral.